GUGCAUGCCCGGCUGCCGUUGCUGCCCCUGCCUCGUACAAACGUCAGAGAAGGCACAUGACACGCCCCUGGGGGCCAUCUGGCCCAAGUCCACCUGCGCGGCUGAGUGGAGGAUGCUAGGUUGCUGUGCUGUUUCUCCUACUGUCUUGCUGCCGCACCACCCCUCAGAAAAACCGGGUCGUCAGUUUCCUGCGGUUUGCACUCACCAAAUAUACUUAGCAAUUUGCAAUUCACCCGCAGGAUUAUUCCAGCCUCUGUGAUCACACACAGAAGGAUGAGCCUUCCUCGUGAGGGUUGGAGAUGGAGGGAGAAGGGAUGGAGAGUAAGGAUGGGACGGAGGUUGUGGAGCAGCAGACCAACACGCCAGAAAGGAAAAUAAUGAUCAUCUCAAUUUUUAUAUGUGGAGGCAUUGCUUUUCUUCUUUGGGGGAUUUUAAGAUUUCCCAGAAAAUUUGGAAUUCCAAGGCACCUUAGAAACAAGACAUGCCUAGAAAAUUUGACUAUGUGUCCACAAGGCUGGAACUGAAUCAAUAAUAAUUGCUUCUUUCAAUCUGAACAUGAAACAACGUGGAUCAAUGGCUGAGAAAACUGCAGAAGUUAUGGAUCUCUGGCCAGGCUCAACUCUCAGAAUGAAAUGGGAAUCUUUGAUGCAUUAUCUGGGGCCGUCUUUAUAUUGGUUUGAACUGAGCAAGCACAAUGCAAACAAAACGUGGAUGUGGGCAGAUGGAGCUACAUUCAGCAAUUGUGAAAGAAUCGAGUUUUGUGCUAUGAGUCAUGGGAGCAAAACGUGAGUAUUUAGAAGUGGAGAGGACCACGAAGAAGGAAGCCCUGGUGACUUGAAGAAAUCAUGGAGAGUUCUCCGGAUUCCCACAAACCUAUGGGGUUUAGAUUCCAGCUAAUACUUACACGGGUCUCAGAAGGACAGAGGGCAAGGGUUAACAUCUGGCUGAUAUUAAAGUCUCUGCACCUCUUAAUAUUUUAAAAAAAAAAAAAA
Molecule: long non-coding RNA, 992 nt
Filed under: Homo sapiens (human)
Lineage: Eukaryota; Metazoa; Chordata; Mammalia; Primates; Hominidae
Description: long independently transcribed non-coding RNA 2470 (LINC02470)
Source: RNAcentral